CACUACAAGCGACAGCUUUAAACUCAAAGGACUUGACGGUGUCCCACAUACAACCUAGAGGAGCCUGUCCUAUAAUCGAUGACCCACGAAAGACCACACCACCCCUUGCCAAACAAUCUAUAUACCGCCGUCGCAAGCCAACCUCUUGAGAGGGGAAGAGUUAGCAAAACUGCCAAACGCAAAGACGACAGGUCAAGGUGUAGUUUAUGGGGUGGCCAGAGAUGGGCUACACUUCCUUCCAAAGGAAAUACGAAUGGUCAACUGAAAGCCGGCCUAAAGGCGGAUUUAGUAGUAAAAUGGGAUAAGCAAGCCCGUUUGAACACAUUGCCCUGGGACGCGU
This 340-nucleotide ribosomal RNA is filed under the name Indotyphlops braminus (Brahminy blind snake). RNAcentral's name for it is "partial 12S ribosomal RNA". It matches the Rfam family "Bacterial small subunit ribosomal RNA", at positions 878 to 1384 of the family's 1533-position model. Lineage: Eukaryota; Metazoa; Chordata; Lepidosauria; Squamata; Typhlopidae. The record is from RNAcentral.